UUAAUAUUCAUUAGGUUGCUAUAGAAGGUGUGGUGAACAAAGUACUAUCAGAGCCAAUUCGUCCUCACUUUGCCAUUGCUUAUGCUGGUCCUUUUUUCGGUUUGCAAGAGGGUCACCAACUCAUUACUGCAAAACUAGGCUCCAAGGUUCCGGUCGUGACUAAUCGACCUGCUGGAAUUAUUGGAAGAGAUGAGUUUUAUAAUGAAUUCAAAGAGAUUUGGUGGAAACGUAGUGAUAUCGACGGCUACCGUGACGACGACGACUAUGACGAGGAGGAGGAGGAGGAUGAUGAUGUUGACUAUGAUAGUGCAAAUACAACAAUCAUGUUAAUCGUUGGAUUUCUACCAGGAAUAAAAGUCAGAACAAUCCCACUCGUAAAGCAACUCGGGGAAUACAAAUUUGUAACAGACAUUAGGGAGUUCUCAACUUCUAUUUCUGGAUGUAAUUCCCCUGCUGCCAUAAUAAUGUUCGGUGUAAGCGGUUCCUCAUGUAACUUUUCAUUUUUUUUGCACAAGAUUGUUUUCUUAUUAUACGUGAACUGGCCGAAUUACAUCAAUAUCGCAGGUAAGUGAGCAACAAGCUGCGCCGCUACCCCUUUCUGAAUAGCAAACCCUAGCCUAUUAAAGACAAACCCCUGCCCCCUGUUGAUUAGCAACUGCUGUGGACAACCUUUUGGACCCUAGUCAACAAACGGACAACCUUGUUAUGCUGACUUACUAUAACUUAUUCUACCCUUCUAUUUAUGUCCUUGAUUUUAGAUUAUUUCAUGUCACCGGAAACAGUCAUUGUUGGCGAUUGUUUCUCGCGGUUCCAUUUUACUAAUGGAAGCUCAAGGAACAUAACCGUUAUUCAAGAAUAUGUUUCUGCUGUUGCCUUGGUAUUUGUCGUGGACAAGAACAAACCUCUUGGUAUCAGAGAAACUCAAUUUCAUGCUGUAUUAUCAAGUGGACUGGUACCUGUAGGCUCGGUGUAUGCAGCAUCUGUUAAAAAGAGUAGGCGUUAUUCGAUUGAGCUCACUGAAAGAAGUGAGAAUCUUUAUGGUGGCAGAAUGUUUAGGCAAGCUUAUGAGGAAGUAUGAAAUUCUUUACCUGUAGUUAACACGUUGUUUGACCAUGUUGACUUUUUUUGCUGAUGUGGUACGGACAUGGUGCUCAGUGACGGAUUCAGGAAUUUUUUCCACUAGGUUCCUUUUAGUAGAUUUUCACUAAUUCUCACAAUUUUUUUUAAAUCAUA
This is a long non-coding RNA of Helianthus annuus (common sunflower), 1233 nucleotides long. RefSeq lists it as uncharacterized. NCBI's taxonomy places the organism in Eukaryota, Viridiplantae, Streptophyta, Magnoliopsida, Asterales, Asteraceae. The record is from RefSeq and is a predicted model, not a curated record. The transcript is spliced from 5 exons.